This 1018-nucleotide ribosomal RNA is filed under the name Modiolus comptus. Its description in RNAcentral is "16S ribosomal RNA". The stretch from base 629 to 943 matches the Rfam family "Bacterial large subunit ribosomal RNA", at positions 2077 to 2643 of the family's 2925-position model. The record is from RNAcentral. Lineage: Eukaryota; Metazoa; Mollusca; Bivalvia; Mytilida; Modiolidae.
CUUUUUGAGUUGUUUAAAUGUUGAAUAAUCUAAAUAAAUCUGGGGUUAAAGGCUAUAUACUAUAUUGCUCUUUUUGGUAUCUGGUUGUUUUAAAAAUAUAUUUAGUUUAGCUCUUUUGGUGAAGAAGUUAAGGCUUGUAAGGUAAGUUAUUGGCUUGGAGUGUUGAGUAGAGAGAAAAGAUAAAUUUGAGUGGGUUUAAUAUUAAUCAUUGCUUAUAUUGUUGUAAAAAAAAUUUUGUGUGUUUAUAAAUUUGUAGUCUUAUCAUUUUUUUAUAAAACAAUAGGUUUUUGCUUAUUUAUUAUGUUAAAAUUAGUAGAGUAGAUGUGUAAGUUUUGUGUUGUGUUUGAAGCGAUGAAAUGGAGAGACUAAUACAUAAAAUUUUUCUUUAAUAAAUUCGGCAAAAGAAACUAGCGAAUGUUUAGCAAAAACAUUUCUUUUUGUAGGUAUAAAAAGUAUUUCCUGCCCAGUGCUGACUGUAGUAAAUGGCUGCAUUAAUUUGAGUGUACAAAGGUAGCGUAAUAAUUCGCCUCUUAAUUGGUGGCAUGUAUGAAUGGGGUUACGGUGGUUUUCUGUGUCAAAGAAAUAUUUUGAAAUUUACUUGUGUGUGAAGAGGCAGACAUGUAAAAAAAGGACGACAAGACCCUAGAAGCUUUACUUUAUGGGUAUUUAUUGUGAAAUUUCCUUAAGUUUUGUUGGGGCAACAGAGGUUUCUUUAUGUCAAAAUACAUUCUUGUUUUAUCCAAAUUGUUGAAAAAGAUUAGCUACUCUAGGGAUAACAGCGUUAUUUUUCUUUAUAGCUCUUAUAGAAAGAAAAGAUUGCGACCUCGAUGUUGGAUUAAGGUAUCCUGAAGAUGCAGAAGUCUUCGAGGGUUGGUCUGUUCGCCCAUUAAAACCCUUACAUGAUCUGAGUUCAGACCGGCGUGAGCUAGGUCAGUUUCUAUCCAUUUCUUAUAUUUGGUUAUUUUAGUACGAGAGGAAUUAAUAAUCUAUUAAUAAUAAUAAUUAGGUCAAUAUAAUG